RNAcentral lists this ribosomal RNA (433 nucleotides) under uncultured bacterium. Its description in RNAcentral is "partial 16S ribosomal RNA". It matches the Rfam family "Bacterial small subunit ribosomal RNA", at positions 29 to 507 of the family's 1533-position model. The record is from RNAcentral.
AACGAACGCUGGCGGCAGGCCUAACACAUGCAAGUCGAGCGAGGACUUCGGUCCUAGCGGCGUACGGGUGAGUAACGCGUGGGAACGUGCCCUUUUCUUCGGAAUAGCUCUGGGAAACUGGGAGUAAUACCGGAUGAGCCCUUUGGGGGAAAGAUUUAUCGGCGAAGGAUCGGCCCGCGUUGGAUUAGGUAGUUGGUGGGGUAAUGGCCUACCAAGCCGACGAUCCAUAGCUGGGUUGAGAGGAUGAUCAGCCACACUGGGACUGAGACACGGCCCAGACUCCUACGGGAGGCAGCAGUGGGGAAUCUUAGACAAUGGGGGAAACCCUGAUCGAGCCAUGCCGCGUGAGCGAUGAAGGCCUUAGGGUUGUAAAGCUCUUUCAGCUGGGAAGAUAAUGACGGUACCAGCAGAAGAAGCCCCGGCUAACUCCGUG